This 576-nucleotide ribosomal RNA is filed under the name Meloidogyne incognita (southern root-knot nematode). RNAcentral describes it as "eukaryotic LSU rRNA". It matches the Rfam family "Eukaryotic large subunit ribosomal RNA", at positions 428 to 910 of the family's 3401-position model. Lineage: Eukaryota; Metazoa; Nematoda; Chromadorea; Rhabditida; Meloidogynidae. The record is from RNAcentral.
GACCUCUGAGCUCCAGAUUGGGACAGAGGGAAUCAGCAUAAUUUUUUGUGGUGCAUUUACUUGAUUGGUGCUUGGGGAUGUUUGAGGCAGAUUUGUUUCCGUCGUUUUGAGGCCAGCUUGCUGGUACCCAAACGGUGUUAGCAUUUUUUGUCUUGGGCAUUUGAGUAUGGCUCACGUGCAUUUAUUGGACAGAUCUGAGUGUAAGUUACGGUCGCAUGCGACACGUGCUUUUCAAUUAGUUCGGUCCAGUUAAUGCUCUCGUACUCGUUCCCCAUGUAAAAGCCGGUCAUCUAUCCGACCCGUCUUGAAACACGGACCAAGGAGUUUAUCGUGUGCGCAAGUUUUUGGGUGUUAAAAACUUAAAAGCGAAAUGAAAGUAAAUGACUCUUUAGAGUCUGAUGUGCGAUCUUGUAAAAAAGUGUAGCAUGGCCCCAUUCUAACUGUUUACAGUAGGGUGGCGGAAGAGCGUACGCGGUGAGACCCGAAAGAUGGUGAACUAUUCCUGAGCAGGACGAAGCCAGAGGAAACUCUGGUGGAAGUCCGAAGCGGUUCUGACGUGCAAAUCGAUCGUCUGAC